GAAGUCUAACAUGUGCGCGAGUCAUUGGGUGGUAAAACCUAAAGGCGGAAUGAAAGUGAAGGAAGCUUUGCUUUCCGAGGGAGGAUGGGGACGUCGGCUCAAAGGGCGGUCCCCCGCACUCCCGGGGCGUCUCACUCUCAUUGCGAGAAGAGGCGCACCCAGAGCGUACACGUUAGGACCCGAAAGAUGGUGAACUAUGCCUGGUCAGGACGAAGCCAGGGGAAACCCUGGUGGAGGUCCGUAGCGAUUCUGACGUGCAAAUCGAUCGUCAGAGCUGGGUAUAGGGGCGAAAGACUAAUCGAACCAUCUAGUAGCUGGUUCCUUCCGAAGUUUCCCUCAGGAUAGCUGGUGCCCGUGUGAGACGAGUCUCAUCCGGUAAAGCGAAUGAUUAGAGGCCUUGGGGCCGAAACGACCUCAACCUAUUCUCAAACUUUAAAUAGAUGAGAUCUCCGGCUUGCUUGAAAGUGAAGCCGGAGACUCGGAUCAGGGUGCCCAGUGGGCCAAUUUUG
Molecule: ribosomal RNA, 509 nt
Filed under: Naucoris scutellaris
Lineage: Eukaryota; Metazoa; Arthropoda; Insecta; Hemiptera; Naucoridae
Description: partial large subunit ribosomal RNA
Rfam family: Eukaryotic large subunit ribosomal RNA
Source: RNAcentral